Molecule: ribosomal RNA, 292 nt
Filed under: uncultured bacterium
Lineage: Bacteria
Description: partial 16S ribosomal RNA
Rfam family: Bacterial small subunit ribosomal RNA
Source: RNAcentral
GUUUCAGCCGCCGCGGUAAGACAGAGGUGGCUAGCGUUGUUCGGAUUUAUUGGGCGUAAAGCGCACGCAGGCGGUUUGGUAAGUCAGAGGUGAAAUUCCGCAGCUUAACUGCGGAACUGCCUUUGAUACUGCCUUUCUCGAGUGCAUGAGGGGGAAGCGGAAUUCCGGGUGUAGAGGUGAAAUUCGUAGAUAUCCGGAGGAACACCGGUGGCGAAGGCGGCUUCCUGGCAUGUAACUGACGCUCAGGUGCGAAAGCGUGGGUAGCAAACAGGAUUAGAAACCCGGGUAGUCC